AGUACCUCGUCUUGUUUUAGAGAGAGAGAGGGAGAGAGGUCUUAACAUGAAGAAAACCAACGAGUGUUUUAGAGAGGGGGAGUGGUCCUUUCUUGCACAGGAAGAAAACGAGAGAGAGAGAGAGAGAGAGAGAGAGAGAGAGAAAAGAGAUAAUCUAAACUCGAACUCGUUUAGAUUAGUCUUGACGUUUCUCACUGGUCAUGAGCACCAUCUUUCAAAAUUUAAAGAAAGUAGAGGAUUUCAGCUUCUCAGUCGAUGAGGCUUAAUGAGGACGGUUUCUAGUUCUAAAUCCAGCAGCAUUGAACUUCUUGAUUUUUCAUUUGCAUUUGACGAUGCGAGGUACUCGGAUAGGGUUUUCAGGAUUGAAAUCAUGGAAGAUAACAAACCCGGUUGUGAGGAUGAGAAAAGAAGCAAGAAGGCCAGGCAACAAAAGAAUGGAUAAGAAAGGUCUUGCAGAGGAUUACUUGGGGUCAGCUUCAAAAGAAGCCAACUGAGGGUAGGUUGAUCUACAAGGGAAUGACAUAGAAAACAACCGUGUUCCAUCUUGGAGCAAAGAUUAUUCAAUUUUUUAAGAGUGAAAAGAUUACAUGUUGUAUCUGCAAUUUUGGCUGCAAGAAGUCCUUAGUUUUACAAGCCUUUCUGUAAUGGCAUGCAAGAAUCCCACCAGAAAGCUGUGACACUACGCAUCAAUGCAUCUGAGGAGAAAGCUUUCAUGGAUCGACUGAAGUUUAUGUACUAUGGGACACUAUCAGCAAGUAUUCCGGAACUUCUAAUGAACCUGAUGGUGAUUGUCGACAAAUUUGAUGUUGUUUCAUGCAUUCGCCAAUGUAGCCUAUUGCUGAGUAGUUUCCCAUUGACACCAGCAUGUGCCUCGCAAUAUUUAGAAUUUCCUAAUAAAACGUUAGAUGCAGCACAAUAUUUCACAGAUGCUGCUAAGCAAUACCUUGCCGAGUAUUAGCGCGAGUUUUUUAAGUGCAAGGAUGAGGAGUUGAUCUCCCUAUCUCUACCGGCCAUUGCGCAGUUGUUAUCGAAGCUACUAUUGCCGUCAGAGGACGAGGUGUUUAACUUUGCCCUUAGGUGGGCACGUGCCAAAUACCUCGAGCUUCAAGAGCGACGUGAGAUCUUAGGCUCAGAACUUAUCCCCCUCAUCCGAUUCCCUUACCUAACGAAGCACAUGCUGAAAGAAAUCCGCAAAUGAGAAGAUUUGGAACAUGGGCUCAUCUCAAAGGUGGUGUUGGAUGCCAUUUUAUUUAAGGCUCAGGCCCCACAAAAACAGCGGGCUCUUAUGGCUGACCACACCUACAUAUUCCACCCUGUGAAGGUGGUGGAGUUGGAGACACCCUACAAUGAAUGCAUCGUGUUGUUUGAUCUGCGGCGAGAGGAAUGUACUUCCCCUUCCCUAUUUCCAGAGGGAAGCAUAUACUCAGACCGGUUCCAUCUAAGGGCCAACAAGUUGUACCUUUGCGCAGAAUGCAAGGAUCAGGAGAAUGGUUUCAAAUUUUUUGGUCUGCACAUGGGAGUUGAGCGCAUAGAGAGUGUUAAGGCUAAGUUCAAGUUUACUGGGCCGUUGGCAUCAAGGUAUUUAUCAAAUCCGGAUUUGUCAUUCACACGCACGUUCACCAAGGAGGAGCUCUAUGGCUGGUCCAACGUCUUUAACAUCUCAUGGUCCAAAUUCGUGGAGGAUGAUAGCCCCUACUUCAUUGAUGGCUUGCUUCAUCUGCAGUUCAUGGUAUCCAUUAUUGAGUGACCUUGCCUUACCGUAUUGUAUGCAAGACAAGCUUUGGUGGCCCGCUUUUCCGUUUAGAGCUUAGCAGCUCUUGGAGACAGUCCAAAAGAAAGCUUGAUCACUUUUUUUUUGUCAUAUUAUGGGAAUAUUUAGUGUUUGAUCAGCCAAAAGUUUGCCAAUGAACGGCAGUUUUACUUCGUUACUAAACUACAUGCAUAAUUCUUCAAACUUUGAUUCACGGCCUCAAGAUUUUGAGAUUCUCAGGCAAUGAAUUAGAGGAUGAGCUCUUAAGUAUUUGUAACAGUAGCACGCACCUCCAUGUAUUUGACUCUCACGCCUGGCAAUUUCACAUGAAGUGGGAGCUUGCCACUUUCGUGCUGUACACACAUGCAACAAUUGAAGUUUGCUUUCACUUUU
Amborella trichopoda is the source of this 2143-nucleotide non-coding RNA. The record is from RefSeq and is a predicted model, not a curated record. Lineage: Eukaryota; Viridiplantae; Streptophyta; Magnoliopsida; Amborellales; Amborellaceae.